RNAcentral lists this long non-coding RNA (207 nucleotides) under Homo sapiens (human). RNAcentral's name for it is "non-protein coding lnc-MIER3-5:1". The record is from RNAcentral. Lineage: Eukaryota; Metazoa; Chordata; Mammalia; Primates; Hominidae.
GGGCUUCCAGAGCUUUGACAGAACCUCAGUUGCUUGGCCUUCUGACCAAGUGUCUGUGAUUUCAUAUUGUUGGAGUAUUUGUUGUAGCUCUUUAUAACUUUGCUGUGGCUGAACCCAGAAAGAAAGCAUCUAUAGAUUUCUAAAAAAAUUGUAAUCCCAUGAAAAAUUUUGUGGAGAUGAGGAAAGUGCAAAGUGAUUUCAGAAUAU